RNAcentral lists this ribosomal RNA (433 nucleotides) under uncultured bacterium. RNAcentral's name for it is "partial 16S ribosomal RNA". It matches the Rfam family "Bacterial small subunit ribosomal RNA", at positions 29 to 507 of the family's 1533-position model. The record is from RNAcentral.
AACGAACGCUGGCGGCAUGCCUAACACAUGCAAGUCGAACGAGACCUUCGGGUCUAGUGGCGCACGGGUGCGUAACGCGUGGGAACCUGCCCUUAGGUUCGGAAUAACUCCCCGAAAGGGGUGCUAAUACCGGAUAAUGUCUUCGGCCCAAGGAUUUAUCGCCUUUGGUUGGGCCCGCGUUGGAUUAGCUAGUUGGUAGGGUAAAAGCCUCACAAGGCGACGAUCCAUAGCUGGUCUGAGAGGAUGAUCAGCCACACUGGGACUGAGACACGGCCCAGACUCCUACGGGAGGCAGCAGUGGGGAAUAUUGGACAAUGGGCGAAAGCCUGAUCCAGCAAUGACGCGUGAGUGAUGAAGGCCGUAGGGUUGUAAAGCUCUUUUAACCGGGAUGAUAAUGACAGUACCGGGAGAAUAAGCUCCGGCUAACUCCGUG